Long non-coding RNA from Gasterosteus aculeatus aculeatus (three-spined stickleback), 2081 nucleotides. The record is from Ensembl. Lineage: Eukaryota; Metazoa; Chordata; Actinopteri; Perciformes; Gasterosteidae.
UUAGAAUCAUAAAUCUAAACCAUUUAUGUUAAACAUUCCUCUUCCUGAUUGGCUGAUCUGGCUCGUAUACAUGCACGGCUCAGGCUGUUUCACAUCACAUAAGCAGUAAUGUAAAUUCUGGAGUUAUUUGUUUAAGUCCCUUUUUUUUCCGACCAACUAGAAGACCAGGACAAUACUCGCUAUGAGGGCGUCACAUUACUUGAGUUUUUUUUUUCUUUUUCUUUUUCUUUACUAUUUUUUUCACUUAUCUGUAAAGCCACAGAGAGCAGAGAUUGACAUGCGGCUGCUCUCCCGCUUGUUAUGUAAGAGCUUGUAAACAUUAGAAUAUAAAAUGUAUAUGGAUACAAGUCUAGAUCGAACAGAAUAUUUCAACGUCACUUUCUCUUAAAGACACCGUUCACGAGUUUGAAGCCGGUCUUUGUUCUUGCCGAAUGGUUUGAUAGGUUAGAAAUAUGAUGCCAAACUACAUCAGACACGUCCGUGUGUUUUGGGUUAGGAAUGUAGGCGGGAUAUGGGACUGGGGGUCAUUUCUCUUCCGAUUAUAGUACGAGAGACAGUAGAUGUUCCUCCUUCCAAGCUUCUGUUCACCCAACGCCCAGCAGCGCAAGCUUUAGUUUCCCUUAAAGUCUAUACGAGUCCUCUUAUUAUAGUUAAGCGUUCAACUGAGCUGGAUAUGAAGUUGUCAGAGAGGCAACGGACCAGUUCAAAGAAACACUUUUAUUUUAGUGUGAUUUUGGGCAUCUCGUUAACGGGUUACCUUCCCACACAUGGAUUUCUCUAUUUUUUUUGGUUUAGAAAUAAAUUUGAUCUGUGAACGGGCCUCACCUGUGGGAUACUGGAGCAGGUGGAAUCAGUAAUUAACGCUGUGUCACUGUGUGAUUUGAUGGCUCAUUGUCAUCCUUAAAGCUUUUACCUAAAGCCUUUUGUAGUCUGUUCAGUCUGAGUUCAGUCUGAGUUCUCUGGGGGUCUUUGGAGACCCCAAAAAGGCUGCACUCAGAGCACAGAAUGUAUCACUUCUAAAUGUCUGAAAUUUAUAUAUUUUUUUCCUUUUUGCCAAAUCUUUAAUUUUCUGUCUGCCAUAUUCUGCCUACGCUCAUGUUUACAGAAGGUUGUAAAAAUUAUUUUGUUGUUUUUCUUUUCGUUUUUUUUCUUCUCUCUUCACCCAGUUUGAAUUCCCUUUCACUCCGGAGUUAUGAAGACUGGACUGCUGUCGUUGAAUUAAGGCCUCCGCUCUCAUUGGCGCCGCACCACUCGAAAAACUCUCUGCUCACCUUUGACCAAUAGCAACUUGAAUCAUGACAACAAAAAGCAGUAUUUUGAACCGCAUGUUGAUUUUCCUAUCCGACAUCUCAUUGCUUUUUUACACUAGUGGCUAUAAAACAUGUGUGAGAGUCACGGUGGUCACGGGGGACGGAAAUGGCAACAUCAGUGUUUUUGACGUGUACUUUGUCCAUUGUUAGAGAAAGGCAGGAAAAGAGAAAGUUCCGAUUUUUUUAAAUUUUUUUUAAUGAAAAUAAAAAAUUUGCACUUUGGAGAAAAGCGUGUGACGAGUGUUAAGAGAAUAGCGAGAUCUUUGGGGAAACUUGAUGAGAAGUUUGAUUCCAAUCUCCUUUCUGGAUGCUACAUAUGAAUCGAAUGCUAGCAGCCUGUUAGCCUAGCUUAGCUUAACCUCCUGGACUAACCCAUGCUAGCCAUUUCCAGUUGCUAUUGGCUUUAGCUAAUGUUAGAUAUUUACCGGAGUUGGAAGUUAUUCACUUUGCUCAUUUUGAGUCUAUGUUGUUCAGUUUUAAUAAGUUAUCAAUGUGCCCUCCGUUGAUUAAUUGCCCACUUUUUUAAUCUGAGCUAAUUAAGGGAUUGCAUCAUCCUCUAAAUACACUGUAACACAUCAAAUGGUGUUGCUACAGCUCUUGCUGUGAGUCCUUCCAACCCCUUAUGAUUGUAAAUUGAAACCAUUUAUAUUCAGAUAUCUUAAUACUAUUACUAGCUUUUUGUGUUAGUAAUCGCAAGAAACGCCCACGUUUCAACACAAAUUGUUAUACCUCAAUUUCAAGCCACUAAAAACCGACACAAUCAAUUAGAAA